UCUCGGCUGGGACGACACGGUGCGGUUCGCGCGCCGCGUCGGCGUGCCGACGCCGCCGGUGUUGUGGCGCGGCACGUUCGACGAGCGCGCCGUGCGC
Molecule: transfer RNA, 97 nt
Filed under: Virgisporangium aurantiacum
Lineage: Bacteria; Bacillati; Actinomycetota; Actinomycetes; Micromonosporales; Micromonosporaceae
Description: tRNA-Thr
Source: RNAcentral